GUCCCGAAGUCCCUCGCACCCGGAAAAUUCCUCCCCUCCCCCACCACCGAAGCUCGCCGGCCAUCUCGGAGCAGCUGGCCUCGGUCCUCUCGUGAUCCUCCCCCUCCGGUUCCUCCUGCCGCUCCUAGAGUGGCUCGGACCGGACGCGGUGCCUUUUGCUGUGACUGGUCUGUUGUUGUAUUCUUGUCAGUCCAUCGUGGGAGUCAAGGGUGUUGUAUGUCAUCACAAGAAAAGCAGUGCUUUUGCUCUCAUGUUAUUGGAAGAAUAUGGUAAUUGAUCAGUUUUGACAACAUUGGAGAACAUGAUGCUUUUGCUCUCAUGUCUCUAGCAACUGUUCUGCUGAUAGCGAUGAUCGUUUAGAUUCUCAGCUUCCAAGCCCUGUUGGAAAUGAUGCUGAAAACACAACAAAUGUUACUUUGAGGAGCAAGUCAAGAGUAAUGUGCAUAAAGAGCACCCUGGUGCUGCUACAACCAAGAGUACGAAGGAGAUGACCAAAACAACUAAUCAAGUCCUUAGUAACCAUACAAUGUUUGGCUGUGUGCAUCUAUUUGAUGCAGAGGCCGGGUGAUACCCAUUUCUAAAAAAAAAGUAACCAUACAAUGUCCACAUCACCAAUCCAAUCUACAAAAUCUUCGGCCGGUGGUCUUGGAGAGUGCUCCCAAUAAUUUGAUGUCAAGUCCUUCUAGAAAUCCAAGAAGAUUAUGUAAAGAUCAUAUUCCAACUUCAGCCUUUUGGGCAGUAAAGCCUCAUACAGAUGUUACUUUCCUUGGCCUGGCCAGUGCUCCAGUCUAGGUUCAGGGCAAACAUCUGGUCAUAACUUGGUGGGUGGUGAUAUUCUAUCUAGCCCAGAUUUUUUGGCAGCCCAGCAGGGUAGUCCAGAGUGUUCGACAAUUCCUAGCCCAAGAAUGGCAACUCCUGGCCCUAGCUCCAGGGUGCAUAGUGGAAGUGUUCCUCCAUUACAUAGGAGGCCUGGAGCUGGAGGGAUGGCACCUGGAUCUCCAACAAGUCAGAAUGAUGGUGGGAAGAAUAAGCAAACUCACAGAUUGCCCGUUCCACCAUUAAGCAUCUCUAAUAGUUCAUUUUUUCCAAACAAGUCCACGCUGGCUAGUCCUAUUUCAGCACCUCGUAAUCCUACCUGAACAGAGACCCACCAAGUCCUGGAUCACGAUGGAAGAAGGGGAAACUGAUUGGUGUGGUACAUUUGGCCAAUGUAUAUGUUGACUUCAACAGUGAAAUGUGUGCUAUAAAAGAGGUUACCCUAUUCUCGGAUGAUCCUAAAUCAAGGGAAAGCGCAAAACCAUUGGGGCAGGUACAGUUUUUCAAUUGUGCUUGCACCUACAAUUCUACAUCAGUUAAAAGAUCAGUUCAUUUAUUGUUCCCUUUAUUGUUUUCCAUUUACCAUUUGUUUCUGAGGAAAUAUCACUCUUGAGCCGCUUACAACAUCCAAAUAUCUACGAUACUAUGGCUCAGAAACGGUUGAUGGCAGACUCAAUAUAUACUUGGAGUAUGUAUCUGGUGGAUCUAUCCAUAAACUUCUACAAGAGUAUGCUCAGCUUGGUGAACCAGCAAUACGCAGCUACACUCAACAGAUACUUUCUGGAUUAGCUUAUUUACAUGCAAACAAUACAGUCCAUAGAUUGCUGCAAUGGUCAAGAUUGGAAAUAGCAAGGAACUUUCACCAGUACCAGAUCACCUCUCAGAGCAGGACAAGGACUUCAUCAGAAAGUUUCUGCAAUGUGAUCCUUCUCAAUGUCCCCCAGCAAUGGAGCUUUUGCAACACCUGUUCACACAAAAUAGAGUCCCACUUGAGAAAUCUGUUAUUUCUGAUUCCUUGGAACAACUGUCUGUUAUAUCUUGUAGACCGAAUUCAAAUGUGGUUGGGCAUACAAGAAAUAUCUCGUCACCUUGGGAUUGGAGGGUCAGACGAUUUAGCCGAGAAGGGGCACAAAAUUUUCUUCGAAACAUAGACCGUCCAUCUCUAUCGGGCAGAACAGGUUGGGCGUGGCAUAUUACAACUGGCAUGCUAACAUGUGUCUAAAUGGCAGAACUGUAUACUGAGUUCCCGUACAGACUGAUGGACCAAGAGUAGUAGUCCGACUCAUGCAUACUCCGGUUGCUGUUAUAUGUAAUUUAUUCUUUCAUGGCGCCCUGAUGUAGUCUCAAGUG
Non-coding RNA from Lolium perenne, 2166 nucleotides. The record is from RefSeq and is a predicted model, not a curated record. Lineage: Eukaryota; Viridiplantae; Streptophyta; Magnoliopsida; Poales; Poaceae.